UCGAACGGUAGAGGGGCAACCCUUGAGAGUGGCGAACGGGUGAGUAAUACAUCGGAACGUGCCCAGUCGUGGGGGAUAACGUAGCGAAAGCUACGCUAAUACCGCAUACGACCUGAGGGUGAAAGCGGGGGAUCGCAAGACCUCGCGCGAUUGGAGCGGCCGAUGGCAGAUUAGGUAGUUGGUGGGGUAAAGGCCUACCAAGCCUGCGAUCUGUAGCUGGUCUGAGAGGACGACCAGCCACACUGGGACUGAGACACGGCCCAGACUCCUACGGGAGGCAGCAGUGGGGAAUUUUGGACAAUGGGCGCAAGCCUGAUCCAGCCAUACCGCGUGCGGGAAGAAGGCCUUCGGGUUGUAAACCGCUUUUGUCAGGGAAGAAAUCUUCUGGGCUAAUACCUCGGGAGGAUGACGGUACCUGAAGAAUAAGCACCGGCUAACUACGUGCCAGCAGCCGCGGUAAUACGUAGGGUGCAAGCGUUAAUCGGAAUUACUGGGCGUAAAGCGUGCGCAGGCGGUUCCAUAAGACAGAUGUGAAAUCCCCGGGCUCAACCUGGGAGCUGCAUUUGUGACUGCACGGCUGGAGUGCGGCAAAGGGGGAUGGAAUUCCGCGUGUAGCAGUGAAAUGCGUAGAUAUGCGGAGGAACACCGAUGGCGAAGGCAAUCCCCUGGGCCUGCACUGACGCUCAUGCACGAAAGCGUGGGGAGCAAACAGGAUUAGAUACCCUGGUAGUCCACGCCCUAAACGAUGUCAACUGGUUGUUGAGUGGGUUCCUACUCAGUAACGUAGCUAACGCGUGAAGUUGACCGCCUGGGGAGUACGGCCGCAAGGUU
This 831-nucleotide ribosomal RNA is filed under the name uncultured beta proteobacterium. RNAcentral's name for it is "bacterial SSU rRNA". It matches the Rfam family "Bacterial small subunit ribosomal RNA", at positions 62 to 895 of the family's 1533-position model. The record is from RNAcentral. Lineage: Bacteria; Pseudomonadati; Pseudomonadota; Betaproteobacteria.